RNAcentral lists this ribosomal RNA (382 nucleotides) under uncultured bacterium. RNAcentral describes it as "bacterial SSU rRNA". It matches the Rfam family "Bacterial small subunit ribosomal RNA", at positions 30 to 412 of the family's 1533-position model. The record is from RNAcentral.
AUUGAACGCUGGCGGCAUGCCUUACACAUGCAAGUCGAACGGCAGCGGACCUUCGGGUGCCGGCGAGUGGCGAACGGGUGAGUAAUAUAUCGGAACGUACCUUUCAGUGGGGGAUAACGUAGCGAAAGUUACGCUAAUACCGCAUAUUCUGUGAGCAGGAAAGCAGGGGAUCGCAAGACCUUGCGCUGAUUGAGCGGCCGAUAUCAGAUUAGCUAGUUGGUGAGGUAAAGGCUCACCAAGGCGACGAUCCUGUAGCGGGUCUGAGAGGAUGAUCCGCCACACUGGAACUGAGACACGGUCCAGACUCCUACGGGAGGCAGCAGUGGGGAAUUUUGGACAAUGGGGGCGAACCCUGAUCCAGCCAUUCCGCGUGAGUGAAGAA